RNAcentral lists this ribosomal RNA (434 nucleotides) under uncultured Ruminococcus sp. Its description in RNAcentral is "bacterial SSU rRNA". It matches the Rfam family "Bacterial small subunit ribosomal RNA", at positions 341 to 792 of the family's 1533-position model. The record is from RNAcentral. Lineage: Bacteria; Bacillati; Bacillota; Clostridia; Eubacteriales; Oscillospiraceae.
ACGGAAGGCAGCAGUGGGGAAUAUUGCACAAUGGGCGCAGGCCUGAUGCAGCGAUGCCGCGUGAGGGAAGAAGGUUUUCGGAUUGUAAACCUCUGUCAUCGGGGACGAUAAUGACUGUACCCGAGAAGGAAGCUCCGGCUAACUACGUGCCAGCAGCCGCGGUAAUACGUAGGGAGCGAGCGUUAUCCGGAAUUACUGGGUGUAAAGGGAGUGUAGGCGGGACUGUGAGUCAGAUGUGAAAUAUGCCGGCUCAACUGGCAGACUGCAUUUGAAACUGCGGUUCUUGAGUGAAGUAGAGGUAAGCGGAAUUCCUAGUGUAGCGGUGAAAUGCGUAGAUAUUAGGAAGAACACCGGUGGCGAAGGCGGCCUGCUGGACGGUAACUGACGUUGAGGCUCGAAAGCGUGGGGAGCAAACAGGAUUAGAUACCCUGGUA